UACAGAGGUGGCAAGCGUUGUUCGGAAUUACUGGGCGUAAAGGGCGCGUAGGCGGUUCGUUAAGUCCUGUGUGAAAUCCUCCGGCUCAACCGGAGAACUGCCCCGAAUACUGGCCGCCUCGAGGGGGGUAGGGGCGUGCGGAACUGUGGGUGGAGCGGUGAAAUGCGUUGAUAUCCACAGGAACUCCGGUGGCGAAGGCGGCACGCUGGACCUCAUCUGACGCUGAGGCGCGAAAGCCAGGGGAGCAAACGGG
RNAcentral lists this ribosomal RNA (253 nucleotides) under uncultured bacterium. Its description in RNAcentral is "partial 16S ribosomal RNA". It matches the Rfam family "Bacterial small subunit ribosomal RNA", at positions 524 to 776 of the family's 1533-position model. The record is from RNAcentral.